This 253-nucleotide ribosomal RNA is filed under the name uncultured bacterium. RNAcentral's name for it is "partial 16S ribosomal RNA". It matches the Rfam family "Bacterial small subunit ribosomal RNA", at positions 524 to 776 of the family's 1533-position model. The record is from RNAcentral.
UACGAGUGGCCCAAGCGUUAUCCGGAAUUAUUGGGCGUAAAGGAUGUGUAGGUGGUCGUAUUAGUCCGGUGUCUAACCUCUGAGCUCAACUUGGAGACAGCAUUGGAAACGGUACGGCUAGAGUAUGUUAGGGGUAAGCGGAACUCAUAGUGUAGGGGUGAAAUCCGUUGAUAUUAUGGGGAACACCAAAAGCGAAGGCAGCUUACUGGAACAUUACUGACGCUGAGGAGCGAAAGCGUGGGGAGCGAACAGG